Molecule: ribosomal RNA, 671 nt
Filed under: Salmonella enterica subsp. enterica serovar Haifa
Lineage: Bacteria; Pseudomonadati; Pseudomonadota; Gammaproteobacteria; Enterobacterales; Enterobacteriaceae
Description: partial 23S ribosomal RNA
Rfam family: Bacterial large subunit ribosomal RNA
Source: RNAcentral
AGACCCGAAACCCGGUGAUCUAGCCAUGGGCAGGUUGAAGGUUGGGUAACACUAACUGGAGGACCGAACCGACUAAUGUUGAAAAAUUAGCGGAUGACCUGUGGCUGGGGGUGAAAGGCCAAUCAAACCGGGAGAUAGCUGGUUCUCCCCGAAAGCUAUUUAGGUAGCGCCUCGUGAAUUCAUCUCCGGGGGUAGAGCACUGUUUCGGCUAGGGGGCCAUCCCGGCUUACCAACCCGAUGCAAACUGCGAAUACCGGAGAAUGUUAUCACGGGAGACACACGGCGGGUGCUAACGUCCGUCGUGAAGAGGGAAACAACCCAGACCGCCAGCUAAGGUCCCAAAGUCAUGGUUAAGUGGGAAACGAUGUGGGAAGGCCCAGACAGCCAGGAUGUUGGCUUAGAAGCAGCCAUCAUUUAAAGAAAGCGUAAUAGCUCACUGGUCGAGUCGGCCUGCGCGGAAGAUGUAACGGGGCUAAACCAUGCACCGAAGCUGCGGCAGCGAACGUAUCACUUAAAGCGAUUCAGCGCGUUACGAUUGACGGAGCGAAGCGACGUCAAAGCGUAUACAAAGUCGAGUCGGUUUAAGGAUACGUUCGUUGGGUAGGGGAGCGUUCUGUAAGCCCGUGAAGGUGGCCUGUGAGGGUUGCUGGAGGUAUCAGAAGUGCGAAUGC